RNAcentral lists this ribosomal RNA (468 nucleotides) under uncultured bacterium. RNAcentral describes it as "partial 16S ribosomal RNA". It matches the Rfam family "Bacterial small subunit ribosomal RNA", at positions 28 to 507 of the family's 1533-position model. The record is from RNAcentral.
GACGAACGCUGGCGGCGUGCUUAACACAUGCAAGUCGAACGGAAAGGCCCUGCUUUUGUGGGGUGCUCGAGUGGCGAACGGGUGAGUAACACGUGAGUAACCUGCCCUUGACUUUGGGAUAACUUCAGGAAGCUGGGGCUAAUACCGGAUAGGAGCUCCUGCUGCAUGGUGGGGGUUGGAAAGUUUCGGCGGUUGGGGCUGGACUCGCGGCUUAUCAGCUUGUUGGUGGGGUAGUGGCUUACCAAGGCUUUGACGGGUAGCCGGCCUGAGAGGGUGACCGGCCACAUUGGGACUGAGAUACGGCCCAGACUCCUACGGGAGGCAGCAGUGGGGAAUAUUGCACAAUGGGCGGAAGCCUGAUGCAGCAACGCCGCGUGCGGGAUGACGGCCUUCGGGUUGUAAACCGCUUUCGCCUGUGACGAAGCGUGAGUGACGGUAAUGGGUAAAGAAGCACCGGCUAACUACGUG